This is a long non-coding RNA of Solenopsis invicta (red fire ant), 1787 nucleotides long. RefSeq lists it as uncharacterized. NCBI's taxonomy places the organism in Eukaryota, Metazoa, Arthropoda, Insecta, Hymenoptera, Formicidae. The record is from RefSeq and is a predicted model, not a curated record. The transcript is spliced from 2 exons.
GUUUAGUUAUCUACUUUGUAAAUAAAUAAAUAUUAUUCUAUAGAACUAAUCUCUGGGUCACAAGGAAACUUUGCAUAAAUAGCCUUCUCGUUAUUUAAUUGUGUCACACAAAUCAUCUUGAAUGUUUGACAGUUGAAUUAAAAAAUUCAGAUCUCUUUUUUUUCAUUAUAAAUUAUAUUUUCAUUAGAACACAUGUCUACUUCUCAUUGAAAUAAUUUUUCAUCCGGGUAGAAAAUCGCCGCCUAAAAUUUUUUCUACUACUUUCAAAUGCUAUAUAAAACAAUCUGUAAUUGUUUCAUAAUUUUCUCCAUGUUUCGAGAGAUGUCCUAUACAUCCUUAAACAUUUGUAGAACAGAAAAAAAGGAAGAUUCUAAGAAUUUAACGAUUCGAAAAUAAUCUCUUGAAUCUAUUUUAUUUGAGAUUAGUGUGAAGGUUUUAGCGUGAAAACAUUUCCUCGUUAGAAUAAUGAUAUUUGGAUAGAUUAUCGCGCAAAAAUCGCAGGUGGCUGCUCAAAUAGAAGCUGAAUGACAAAUAUCUUCCGUGUAAUGUUAUCGAUCAUUGUAUAAAUAUACACUGGGGCGGGUGCACAUACGUCGAAUGGCUAGGAAACGGAAAUAGACUGGCCACCGAUUGGCUAGGUGGGCGAGCCUCCGUGUGAGGCUUUCGACUCGCGGAUUCUCCGAUUCGCAUACACGCCUUGCUUGUUGCUCUCGCCGUGCGGAAGUGUUACGUUGCUGACGCGUACACACGCGGUACGCACUACUGAGCGUUAGCUCACGAUGACGCAGUGGCCUUGGUCGAUAAAAGACACGUACGGAGGAGAGGAGGUUUUUACGGUAAUCUAAGCGCGAUUCUCGUUUUCGCGGCUCGCCGUUCGGGACAACGAUAACGAUCGAGAUCGACGUGAUUCCGGCAAAUCGUCCGACGUUUCUUUCGGAGGACCGUACCAUAUGCCGAAACGUUUGCGAAGACCGGACGACCAGGUGCACCGGUUACUGCAUUCGCACUAUUGCAGCUCGAUUACGCCUGAAACAUUUAUAAUCGCGAAUUGACCCAGAGACCGUCGAUGCAUCGAUUUUCAAGCAGUCGUCAUCAUUUUUCACACACUCACCGCGGUAAUCGCUGUAGGAAUAUGCCAGUAGACGUCAGAUACGCUGACGUAAGGCGUAAAACGAUAGCACGCAAAGAAAGCAAACUUUCUCCGUGAUAUACGCGGACGAUGCUUGUCCUUACGGAAAAAACCUUACGAUUCGCUCGUUACGUGAGAUAUGACAUGAGAAUUACGAUUAAUAUUUUAUCAGAAUGAGGAGCAACUUCUUAAGUUCUCGGCCAAACAGAUUAUUUGAUAAAAUCUCUUUCGCCGAUAACGGCGCUCGUUCUGCAAAGAACGUAUAAAAGCAAUUUGAAGGAAAAGGCUUGAAGGCAAGACCUCGCACUUUUCGUAAUUUGACAGCCCGAUGCAGACCUUUGCCGAGCAUGAAUGUUCUCUCACUCUACGUCAUUAUGGCGAAUAAUCUUAUGAUUAAUUCAACGAUAGCUGCAUUUAACGUUGCGUUGCGCAACGUGAGACGCAGGAACGGAUGCUAAUGUGUGUCGAUCUCAAAAGCCGGAUUAACGACGCAAAUAUGAAAAUCAUAUUUCCUUUCGACUACAGUCCGAUCUAUCGCCUGAUGUCGCGAUAGAGAUCGCAAUCGGAAGUCCACUUAUUAAUUCUGUCUUGUCGACUGACGAUUUGCGCAAUCAUUUGCUCUGAUGUAUCAACAAUAAAUAGGAAUAAAUAAGUAAAA